Long non-coding RNA from Pezoporus flaviventris, 1706 nucleotides. RefSeq lists it as uncharacterized. The transcript is spliced from 4 exons. The record is from RefSeq and is a predicted model, not a curated record. NCBI's taxonomy places the organism in Eukaryota, Metazoa, Chordata, Aves, Psittaciformes, Psittacidae.
CCAAACCAUGAAACAAAUACUACAAGCUAAAAUGUUUGUAGUAUGUAUUCCCUCUCAUCCUUUAUGUACAGCACCAUAGCCUAAUGGCAUGUAUGCCGUUUAAGGUUCCCAUUAGCUUUGUGAAUAGCACAAAACAAAUAUUACCUUAUGCUCCAGACAGGAUAACAUCUAAAGGCAUUAACUCUACAAGAACUUGGCCAGAUUUUCAAGUAUGGGUAAUGAAUGACCUACAAACCCUUACAACAGCAGCUUUCUCCUGCUGGCCUACUAUUGCUGUCCCCUGGAGAUGAGGCUUUGGAGAAAUAAUCAUCAGCCAGUUCCAUUCAGGCAUUCACCCCUCUCCUGAGAUUCACAAAAGGGUGAUGAAGUACAUGUUUGUGUGCUUUUUAAUGCGAUCAGCAGAUGCUCCGUGGUGACCACAAAGAGUAUCUGAAAGACAGAAAAAAACAACCUAGGUGGUUUUUGAAACAGCAGUGACCUGAAGUGGAUGUUUUCAAACCGUGAAUCUCCUUUAGAGCUGUUGUGUGUCGGGUAUGUUGCACUUUAAUCAGGAUUUCAAAAGAGUACAAACAAAAACAUGGGUAGGAAAAGGAAGAGUGGGUUACUGGCCUUGCCUAAAAUUCAGAGGUAGCAGAGAGCUCACCAGAGAAAUGCACACCCUUGCACACGUGCUAUAGCACACAAAUUCCAUUUAUAAAUAUUGCAGCAGAGGAAGGUACAAAUGUAGUCAUUUGUGAUUUCAAUAAUUUAUAUCAAUACACGAUUCAUGAAUUCAGUAUUUGCACAUUUGGAGAAUGCUACGGCUGAAGAGGAUCUACUGGGAAUGCAAGAGAUGGGUAAAUAAUGGCUUCCAUGUCUUUUCAGCACCUUGGAAGAGUAAGCUACAAAAUUCAAAGAUCCAGGGAUGUUGGGGUGUGUUUUGAUGGGAAGCAGGGCAGAGUCUCUUCUGCUGUGAGACCAGUGUGUCAUCUGUCACGCUUGGUGGCAAGAGAGCUUUCUUUUCUCAACAUGAAACACAAUUGUUGCCAGAGGUAGAAAGACCCAUGGGAAGACAAGGUCAGAACUCAACAGAAGGGAAUAAAAACUUAGGGGAGCAACAAGGAGGAAAAGAAAGGAAUGAGGAAACAAAUAUUAAAACAAGAGAAAAAAUAAAGGAAACACACAAAGUAUAGAGAUCCUGAUCAGUAGUGAUGUUCAGAGGGCUCAUCAGGCAGUGCUGCUGCCACUUCAACAGAACCUAACAAAGACACUGAAGCAGGCCCUCCAUGCCUCCAUCGUUUCCAUCCCAGAGAUUCCUCAAAGUGGCUCCCAUCACAGUGAUACUACCCCUGACUGAUUUAGGUCCUUGCAGGCCUCAACAUUUCUAUCUUUACUUUGAUGAGUUAGAGCAGUGGCUUGCAGAGGUCAUUACAGCUGUAACUGUCAGCUGUCAAUAGCCCCACUUUCCAUCACCCUUGGGGUCAUCACCACAGCGAAUGUUAUAUGGGCCUUGGCCAAACUUAGCUCAGUCAAGACACCAGUGAUUUGUGAGCAGGACCUAGACCUGUUCUUACCCUGAGACACUAUUCACCUUCUGAUCUCCACUACCUUAGGUUCAUGUUGACUGCCCUGCUUGCUCAAAUGACUGCAGGUAAAGGCUGCCCUCUGCAGUUGUACAAGACCACUUCAUUCCCCUGGGACAGGGGUGAGAACCUGAUAGACCACCA